This 468-nucleotide ribosomal RNA is filed under the name uncultured bacterium. Its description in RNAcentral is "partial 16S ribosomal RNA". It matches the Rfam family "Bacterial small subunit ribosomal RNA", at positions 28 to 507 of the family's 1533-position model. The record is from RNAcentral.
GACGAACGCUGGCGGCGUGCUUAACACAUGCAAGUCGAACGGAAAGGCCCUGCUUUUGUGGGGUGCUCGAGUGGCGAACGGGUGAGUAACACGUGAGUAACCUGCCCUUGACUUUGGGAUAACUUCAGGAAACUGGGGCUAAUACCGGAUAGGCGCUCCUCCUGCAGGGGGGGGGUGGGAAAGUUUCGGCGGUUGGGGAUGGACCCGCGGCUUAUCAGCCUGUUGGUGGGGUAGUGGCUUACCAAGGUUUUGAGGGGUAGCCGGCCUGAGAGGGUGACCGGCCACAUUGGGACUGAGAUACGGCCCAGACUCCUACGGGAGGCAGCAGUGGGGAAUAUUGCACAAUGGGCGGAAGCCUGAUGCAGCAACGCCGCGUGCGGGAUGACGGCCUUCGGGUUGUAAACCGCUUUCGCCUGUGACGAAGCGUGAGUGACGGUAAUGGGUAAAGAAGCACCGGCUAACUACGUG